RNAcentral lists this long non-coding RNA (1406 nucleotides) under Equus asinus (donkey). RNAcentral describes it as "lncRNA (ENSEASG00005037635.1)". The record is from RNAcentral. Lineage: Eukaryota; Metazoa; Chordata; Mammalia; Perissodactyla; Equidae.
AGAAAAUGAGGACAGUAGCAAAUGGGUUGUCUAAACCCACAUCCAAUAGUAUGACUUUACUCUUAGUACUAAUUUUCUGGCUUUCCCUUUGCUCUGCAUCGCAGCCAAGACCCUAGUGCCCUGUCUGCCUGGGGACCCACCAGCUGCCCUGGGCACCCGUCUCGGGCAGCGGGCGGGGGGUUGGAUGCAGAGGCAGCACCCAGGGACCAGCUGCGGCUCUCACCCCCACACCCAUCCAGCUCCUCUGCCUGCUAAUUGUGGGGUUGCAGGACGUCAGCUGCCUCCCAGGCCCCGGGCGGGCUCCUACCAAUGGAGCAGGAGCUCCCUCCACAGCAUCCCACUCCUCCUCCAGCCCCACAGACACAGCUGCGCUGGGGGUGGUCCCCACGGUGCUGGGACCCCCACCCCUCCGGGAGGCAGCCUGAAAAGGUGUCAGUAUGAAGACUUCCUCCAUAGCUUUCCAAUCUCCCAGGCUUCCCCCCGUCAGAGAGGAGCAUGGGCUCUCCACCACUCAGGAACAGCCAUGGCUCCCCAUUGCUGGACAAGUCAAGUUUCACCCCACAUCGUGGCCCGUGGGUGCUCCAGACUCACCCUUAAGCACGUUCCUCAAGUGGCCUUGGUCUCAGGUCCCUGUUGCUCCAGGAUAAAGUCCAGACGGGCCCCUUGCUACGGCCUCUGCCUCCCCCACGGGCUUCCCCAGCAUCCUCUCUCUACUUGCCCUCGGCCAGAGCACCAGUGGCCUGGGCAACAGCUCCACAGUGACCGGGGCAUGCCUCAUCUCUCACAUCUGGACUUGAGCUCCGAGGGCAGGGGUCCUGCCUGUGGGAAUCUGGAUCUCCCGGGAAAGGACAGAGAGCAUCAUUGAGAGCUCAUGCUCACCCCUACCCCCACCCCUGCCCCAUGGUGUCAUUUAACUUUCAUCUUCACAACAACCCAGGACGUGGACAACGGCAAGAUGAGGACACCCAGGCCCAGAGAGGGAAGGGACCUGCCAGGAGAUGAUGGGGGACCGGGAUUCAAUCUAGGCAACUUCAAAGGCCAGGUGUUCUCAGCCACGGCCCUCGGCCCAGGUCUGAGCCCGGUUUCAGGGCAGGGAACUGGUCGGAGUCAGGAACCUCAUUGCCUAGGUGAGGAAACCAAAGUGAAGCCCCUCCGCAGCUUCCUGAGGGCUCACAGCAACUAACUGGCAUGAUCUGAAAGGGGCCACCGCUCCCCCGGGUGGAUGCUGGUCACCAGGGCACCAGCGGCUCCUCGUGUACUUUGAAUGUAACUCACGCCCCUUCCCGGCCUCCGGGGCCCCUGGAGAUCCGGCUGGCGUCUCUUCACAGCUUCGUCCCCACCGUCUCCCCUCGCUCACUGUCUUCCAGCCCGCUGGCCUCCUUCCUGCUCCAACACCCCAAGCCCGU